UUUGGGCAAGAAGACCCUAUGAAUUUUAAAAAUUUCAAUAAAAUGCUGUAUUUUAUUGAAAUUUUUUAAUUGGGGCGAUUAUUAAAUAUUAAAAACUUUAAUUUUUUUAAAAAAGAACCAAUAAUAUUGGUUAUUUGAAAAAAUACUCUAGGGAUAACAGCGUAAUAAUUUUUGAUAGUUCUUAUAGACAAAAUAGUUUGCGACCUCGAUGUUGGAUUAGGAUUCUUUUUUAAUGAAGAAGUUAAAAAAAGAAGUUUGUUCAACUUUUAAAAUCCUACUUGAUCUGAGUUCAGACCGG
Molecule: ribosomal RNA, 298 nt
Filed under: Amblyomma maculatum (Gulf Coast tick)
Lineage: Eukaryota; Metazoa; Arthropoda; Arachnida; Ixodida; Ixodidae
Description: partial 16S ribosomal RNA
Rfam family: Bacterial large subunit ribosomal RNA (bases 153-298)
Source: RNAcentral